ACUCCCAAUCCUUGUAUCAGUGU
RNAcentral lists this microRNA (23 nucleotides) under Tetraodon nigroviridis (spotted green pufferfish). Its description in RNAcentral is "Tni-Mir-150_5p (mature (guide))". The record is from RNAcentral. Lineage: Eukaryota; Metazoa; Chordata; Actinopteri; Tetraodontiformes; Tetraodontidae.